GUCCUAAUAGUAUAAAUUAUUACCCUGGUCUUGUAAACCAAAAAUGAAGAAUUAUUCUUCUUAGGACA
Molecule: transfer RNA, 68 nt
Filed under: Mastomys natalensis (African soft-furred rat)
Lineage: Eukaryota; Metazoa; Chordata; Mammalia; Rodentia; Muridae
Description: tRNA-Thr
Source: RNAcentral